Molecule: ribosomal RNA, 468 nt
Filed under: uncultured bacterium
Lineage: Bacteria
Description: partial 16S ribosomal RNA
Rfam family: Bacterial small subunit ribosomal RNA
Source: RNAcentral
GACGAACGCUGGCGGCGUGCUUAACACAUGCAAGUCGAACGGAAAGGCCCUGCUUUUGUGGGGUGCUCGAGUGGCGAACGGGUGAGUAACACGUGAGUAACCUGCCCUUGACUUUGGGAUAACUUCAGGAAACUGGGGCUAAUACCGGAUAGGAGCUCCUGCUGCAUGGUGGGGGUUGGAAAGUUUCGGCGGUUGGGGAUGGACUCGCGGCUUAUCAGCUUGUUGGUGGGGUAGUGGCUUACCAAGGCUUUGACGGGUCGCCGGCCUGAGAGGGUGACCGGCCACAUUGGGACUGAGAUACGGCCCAGACUCCUACGGGAGGCAGCAGUGGGGAGUAUUGCACAAUGGGCGGAAGCCUGAUGCGGCAGCGCCGCGUGCGGAAUGACGGCCUUCGGGUUGUAAACCGCUUUCGCCUGUGACGAAGCGUGAGUGACGGUAAUGGGUAAAGAAGCACCGGCUAACUACGUG